This is a long non-coding RNA of Lates calcarifer (barramundi perch), 1370 nucleotides long. RefSeq lists it as uncharacterized. The record is from RefSeq and is a predicted model, not a curated record. The transcript has 4 exons. Lineage: Eukaryota; Metazoa; Chordata; Actinopteri; Centropomidae.
CGGGGAAGCCAGGCUGACCAGGAGCACCGGGAAUACCCUUCUCCCCCUUAACGCCGCCACUUCCUGGGGGUCCACGGGGACCCUGUGGGCCAGCUGGACCUUCAGACGCAGAAGUCAAAGGUUCAAAGAUCCCAUCAAGGAGCAUGUACCACAGCAUGUAUCAAAACCAUCAAACCACUGGGGUCUAACCUGGAGGACCUAGGGUUCCCAGAAUUCCCGGAUAAAGCGGAGCCGGUUUGACGGCAUGGGGCAAAAAACAGAAGAGGAGGUUUAGACAGAAGCAAGCAUCAGUACAGAAACACAGUCUGACUAAACAAUGGCCAAGGUAUUUUAUCUUUACAUAGCCAGGAGGUGUUAAAAAACAAGGCUAGUGGAAUCCUCACACUCUUAUUUUUUUGUGGAGUGUUGUUUUACAUUAAAUGAAUAGUGAGAAGCUGUUAUGAUAGCAUAAACCUGACUCUCUUGAUCUUAAAAGUAAUUUGCUGUUAAUCUUCUCCUUCGACCACCAGAUAUCAUGACAAGUUAUAAACAAAAUAAAUUUAAAUAUACAGUAUGUGACACAUACUAAACAUAAUGAUUUAAUGUUUCAGGUGAGUUAGUUUUAUGGUGUGUUUUUGAACACAAACUGUUAAAUACCAUGUACAUAACACAUUCUGUUAGAUUUGAAUUCAGAAGUACCUUCAUGUGAUUCAGAUAACAUGCUGAUUGUGCCAGGAAACUACUGUGAGUUUUAAAAUCUUGGGUGUGUUAUUUUAUUCAUCAUAAAAUAGGAAAAAAAAUAGAUAAAAAGGUGCUUACUUUUUAACAGUGCAUUAUACUACCAUCAGUGUGCAUGAAUAGGGAAGGAAGACAGUGAUUAGAAAGAGAUCAUAAAGGGUCAGAAAUCAGAAAAGGGAGUUCUCAGGUUCCCAGUAGAUCAGAGAGUGAGAUUAAACUCAAGUCAGUGCUGAUGUAAAGAACGUGCAGUAGGAGUCUGGACACUGUUGAUCUGACCUGAGGGACCUGCGAUGGCCGGACGCAGGUGUCAUCACGGCAAGAGGCGGGGCCGCACCACAGUGGGUGGGGCCAGGCCACAGGAAACAGGAGCUUGCGUCAGGCUGGGUCCUGGGGGUCCCUGGACACCUGGGUCACCCCUCUCUCCUUUAGGGCCAGAACUGCCGGGUGCACCAUCUCUACCUGGGAAUCCGGAUUCACCUGGAGAGGAGAACAUGAGAAUCACAGGAAAAUGAACCCAGUCCAACCUUAUGCAUUUUACCUGGUGGUCCCAUUAGGCCUGGAGGUCCAGGAGGGCCUGGGGGCCCCAGUGAGCCAAGGGAAAGAGAUCCAGGUGGGCCACGAGCUCCAGGGAUACCAGGUGAACCGGGCUCACC